CUCUCAUCGAGAUGCACCCAGAACCUAUAGGAUGAAGUGCGCAGGGACCAACAGGCAGCCUUUCCAGCCGGAGCAGCUGAUCACCAGGAAGGAAGACGCAGCCAAUAAUUACACCAGAGGCCAUUGCACCAUCGGCAAGGAGAUCGUCGACCUGGUCCUGGACUGGAUCUGCAAACUGGUGAUCUGUGCGCGGGGCUGCAGGGCUUCCUCAUCUUCCACAGCUCUGGCAGUGGCCCCGGCUCUGAGUUUGCAUCUCUGCUCACGGAGCGCCUCUCGGUGGACUAUGGCAAGAAGUCCAGCUCGAACUUGCCAUUUCCCCAGCCCCCCAGGUUUCCAUGGCCAUGGUGGAGCCCUCCAACUCCAUCCUGACCACCCACAUGACCCUGGAACAUGCUGAUUGUGCCUUCCUGGUGGACACUGAAGCCAUCUAUGACAUAUGUCAUCACAACCUGGAUAUCGAGCUGCCCACGUGCACCAACCUCAGUCGUCUCAUUGGGCAGACCGUGUCCUUGAU
This 514-nucleotide long non-coding RNA is filed under the name Equus asinus (donkey). RNAcentral describes it as "lncRNA (ENSEASG00005025220.1)". The record is from RNAcentral. Lineage: Eukaryota; Metazoa; Chordata; Mammalia; Perissodactyla; Equidae.